RNAcentral lists this ribosomal RNA (253 nucleotides) under uncultured bacterium. RNAcentral describes it as "partial 16S ribosomal RNA". It matches the Rfam family "Bacterial small subunit ribosomal RNA", at positions 524 to 776 of the family's 1533-position model. The record is from RNAcentral.
UACGUAGGGGGCAAGCGUUGUCCGGAUUUAUUGGGCGUAAAGAGCGUGUAGGCGGCCAGACAGGUCAGCUGUGAAAACUCGAGGCUCAACCUCGAGACGUCGGUUGAAACCGUCUGGCUAGAGUCCGGAAGAGGAGAGUGGAAUUCCCGGUGUAGCGGUGAAAUGCGCAGAUAUCGGGAAGAACACCCGUGGCGAAGGCGGCUCUCUGGGACGGUACUGACGCUGAGACGCGAAAGCGUGGGGAGCGAACCGG